AGGGAACUACAAUCUCUUAGAGAUUAAUGAAAGAAAAUUUCUUCACAUACUUCACCAGUUCUAUGGUAAUCGUAAUCACGCAGGACGCGAAUGGCCAGCUUGGUGUUACCGCUUCACAAAUAACAUAAAUCCAGUGCGGGAAGAAACGAGCGAACUAGUCAACAGGCCUGGAGCACAAAACAACGAGAGCUGCAAGGAUUGCACGUUGCCGUUGGGUGGAACGAAUCAAGAACUCUGAUCGAUACAAGUAUUCAUGAUUUUAGUAAGCGUUGUAGGACAGCCGAAAGAUCAUAGUGGUCAACUUGAGAAUAUUGAUACUCAUUGGAGCAAGAAACUGAUUUAACUCAGCUCAAUUCUAUUUUUCAAUAGUUGGCUCAAAUACAUGCCUAGUAUAUGUAAUGAAAAGAAUUAGGAUUAUUUUCUUGCUCUAAUAACACCACAUAUUGUAGCCUUGAACGAUCUGUGCCCGUGAAGGUAGCUUGGCAGGUAGCGCCAAUAAUAAGAAUGUUCGAAGGGCCUUCGCUCGAGACGUUGAAGUCCUCCCUGUAUUCUCAGUCAGGUAGUUGCAUCCUUAGCAAUCCAAAGCUGAUGACCUACAGUAUUGUUGCCUCUGUAGUAGCGAAAUCAGAUGAUAUCCCUACAUUUAGCUUACAUUUUAACUGCAUGGUGUGUAGUCUACUACCUUUUUGGUCACUGAACUCAACAAAAGUACAACCAUGCACAGAACCAGUAAAUUUCAUACCAUCCCAAGCCACUUAUCGUAGUGGGAGAAAUUGUCCUAUGUCUACUGAACUAUAUAUUUCAACGCAUUGGUCGCAGCGACGAAGCCAAUCAAGUUAAUGCAAACCAUUACAUGCAGGCUCGGAUGACUAAACACGACGACCAAUGCCAAAUCAUGCAAACGCGUUCUGCGGUCGGUUGUGCGAUUGCCAGAUAGCGCUCUUCAUUGGGU
This is a non-coding RNA of Paramuricea clavata, 952 nucleotides long. NCBI's taxonomy places the organism in Eukaryota, Metazoa, Cnidaria, Anthozoa, Malacalcyonacea, Plexauridae. The record is from the annotation of a GenBank genome assembly.